GCCUCUGUAGCUCAGUUGGUUAGAGCGCUGCCCCGGAAUCGCAGGGCCGUAGGUUCAAUUCCUACCAGAGGAC
RNAcentral lists this transfer RNA (73 nucleotides) under Paramuricea clavata. It matches the Rfam family "tRNA". From Rfam's summary of the family: Transfer RNA (tRNA) molecules are approximately 80 nucleotides in length. Their secondary structure includes four short double-helical elements and three loops (D, anti-codon, and T loops). The record is from Rfam by way of RNAcentral. Lineage: Eukaryota; Metazoa; Cnidaria; Anthozoa; Malacalcyonacea; Plexauridae.